Molecule: ribosomal RNA, 477 nt
Filed under: uncultured bacterium
Lineage: Bacteria
Description: partial 16S ribosomal RNA
Rfam family: Bacterial small subunit ribosomal RNA
Source: RNAcentral
GAUUAACGCUGGCGGCGUGCAUAACACAUGCAAGUCGAACGAUGAAACUUAACUGAUUUCUUCGGAAUGAUUUUAAGUGGAUUAGUGGCGGACGGGUGAGUAACGCGUGAGUAACCUGCCUUGGAGAAGGGGAUAGCCUUUGGAAACGAAGAAUAAUACCCUAUGAUAUGAUAAUAUCUCAUGAUAUUAUCAUCAAAGAUUUAUCGCUCUAAGAUGGACUUGCGUCUGAUUAGUUAGUUGGUGAGGUAACAGCUCACCAAGGCAGCGAUCAGUAGCCGGCUUGAGAGAGUGUACGGCCACAUUGGGACUGAGACACGGCCCAGACUCCUACGGGAGGCAGCAGUGGUGAAUUUUGCACAAUGGGGGAAACCCUGAUGCAGCGACGCCGCGUGAUUUAGAAGGCCUUCGGGUUGUAAAAAUCUUUUGUAUGGGAAGAAAAUGACAGUACCAUACGAAUAAGGACCGGCUAAUUACGUG